GAUGAACGCUGGCGGCGUGCUUAACACAUGCAAGUCGAACGAUGAAGCCCAGCUUGCUGGGUGGAUUAGUGGCGAACGGGUGAGUAACACGUGAGUAACCUGCCCUUGACUCUGGGAUAAGCGCUGGAAACGGCGUCUAAUACCUGAUACGAGCUUCCACCGCAUGGUGAGUUCCUGGAAAGAAUUUCGGUCAAGGAUGGACUCGAGGCCAAUCAGGUAGUUGGCGAGGUAACGGCUCACCAAGCCGACGACGGGUAGCCGGCCUGGGAGGGUGACAGGCCCCACUCUGCCAGGGGAACGGCCAGGAGUGCUACGUGCGGCAGGGGUGGAGACCAUUGGACGAAAGGCGCAGGGAGUAAGCAGGAUCGUCGGGUGGGGAACGAAGGUUUUUGGGUAGUAAAAAUCUUUUAGGAGGGAAGACGCGACAGUGCCGGUACCAGCAGGAAAAGCACGGGCUAAUUACGU
RNAcentral lists this ribosomal RNA (465 nucleotides) under uncultured bacterium. Its description in RNAcentral is "partial 16S ribosomal RNA". It matches the Rfam family "Bacterial small subunit ribosomal RNA", at positions 28 to 506 of the family's 1533-position model. The record is from RNAcentral.